UACGGAGGGUGCAAGCGUUACUCGGAAUCACUGGGCGUAAAGGGUGCGUAGGCUGGCUUCUAAGUCAGAUGUGAAAUCCAAUGGCUUAACCAUUGAACUGCAUUUGAAACUGGAAGCCUAGAGUUCAGAAGGGGCAGAUGGAAUUAGUGGUGUAGGGGUAAAAUCCGUAGAUAUCACUAGGAAUAUCAAAAGCGAAGGCGAUCUGCUGGGAUGAUACUGACGCUGAGGCACGAAAGCGUGGGGAGCAAACAGGAUUAGAUACCCUGGUAGUCCACGCCCUAAACGAUGAAUGCUAGUCGUCGGGGUACUCGUUACUUCGGUGAUGCACUUAACAGAUUAAGCAUUCCGCCUGGGGAGUACGGUCGCAAGAUUAAAACUCAAAGGAAUAGACGGGGACCCGCACAAGUGGUGGAGCAUGUGGUUUAAUUCGAAGAUACACGAAGAACCUUACCUGGCCUUGACAUGGUAGGAACCCUUAAGAGAUUAGGGGGUGCUAGCUUGCUAGAACCUACACACAGGUGCUGCACGGCUGUCGUCAGCUCGUGUCGUGAGAUGUUGGGUUAAGUCCCGCAACGAGCGCAACCCUCGUCCUUAGUUGCUAACAGUUCGGCUGAGCACUCUAAGGAGACUGCCUUCGCAAGGAGGAGGAAGGUGAGGACGACGUCAAGUCAUCAUGGCCCUUACGGCCAGGGCUACACACGUGCUACAAUGGGGCGUACAAAGAGCUGCAAUACCGCGAGGUGGAGCCAAUCUCUUAAAGCGUCUCUCAGUUCGGAUUGUUCUCUGCAACUCGAGAACAUGAAGCUGGAAUCACUAGUAAUCGUAGAUCAGCUAUGCUACGGUGAAUACGUUCCCGGGUCU
Molecule: ribosomal RNA, 861 nt
Filed under: uncultured bacterium
Lineage: Bacteria
Description: SSU rRNA
Rfam family: Bacterial small subunit ribosomal RNA
Source: RNAcentral